This 503-nucleotide ribosomal RNA is filed under the name uncultured bacterium. Its description in RNAcentral is "bacterial SSU rRNA". It matches the Rfam family "Bacterial small subunit ribosomal RNA", at positions 30 to 527 of the family's 1533-position model. The record is from RNAcentral.
AUUGAACGCUGGCGGAAUGCUUUACACAUGCAAGUCGAACGGCAGCACGGGGCAACCUGGUGGCGAGUGGCGAACGGGUGAGUAAUAUAUCGGAACGUGCCCAAUCGUGGGGGAUAACGUAGCGAAAGUUACGCUAAUACCGCAUACGAUCUACGGAUGAAAGCGGGGGAUCGCAAGACCUCGCGCGAAUGGAGCGGCCGAUAUCAGAUUAGGUAGUUGGUGGGGUAAAGGCUCACCAAGCCAACGAUCUGUAGCUGGUCUGAGAGGACGACCAGCCACACUGGAACUGAGACACGGUCCAGACUCCUACGGGAGGCAGCAGUGGGGAAUUUUGGACAAUGGGCGCAAGCCUGAUCCAGCCAUUCCGCGUGCAGGAUGAAGGCCUUCGGUUGUAAACUGCUUUGUACGGAACGAACGGUACUGCCCUAAUACGGCGGGCUAAUGACGGUACCGUAAGAAUAAGCACCGGCUAACUACGUGCCAGCAGCCGCGGUAAAAUCACG